This 1039-nucleotide long non-coding RNA is filed under the name Salmo salar (Atlantic salmon). Its description in RNAcentral is "lncRNA (ENSSSAG00000104047.1)". The stretch from base 579 to 632 matches the Rfam family "UnaL2 LINE 3' element". Lineage: Eukaryota; Metazoa; Chordata; Actinopteri; Salmoniformes; Salmonidae. The record is from RNAcentral.
GACAAUAACCUAAAACGCAAGGCCAAUUACUUGCCAAUAUGAAAUUGAAUGUUCAUGGUGGGCCUAGUUACAGUUUUGACUUAAAUCAUCUUGAACAUCUAUGGCAAGACUUGAAAAUUGCUGUCUAGCAAUGAUCAACAACCAACUUGACAGAGCUUGAAGAAUUUAAAAAAGAAUGGGCAAAUAUUGUACAAUCCAGGUUUGCAAAGCUCUUACAGACAUACUCAGAAAGACAGCUGUAGUGUAUUGACUCAAGGGGUUGAAUACUUAUCUAAUUAAAAUAUAUAUUCUUGUUUUAUUUUGCAUUAAUAAAAAUAAAACAUGUUAAGAGUUUUUCUUCCACUUUGACAUUACAGAGUAUUUUGCGUAGAUUGUUGAAACAAAUGACAAUAAAAUCUAUUUUAAUCCCACUUUGUAACACAACAAAAUGUGGAAAAAGUCAGGGGGUGUGAAUACUCUCUGUGGCUCAGUGGUAGAGCAUGGGGUUUGCAACGCCAGGGUUGUGGGUUCGUUUCCCACGGGGGGCCAGUACCAAAAAAAAGUGACAGAGCAACAACAAAAAAAAUGUAUGAAAUGUAUGCAUUCACUACUGUAAGUCGCUCUGGAUAAGAGCGUCUGCUAAAUGACUAAAAUGUAAAUGUAAGACACUGUAGGCCUAUUAGAGAGAGAUGAUAGGCUGGGUAUCUGGCCUAUUAGAGAGAGAUGAUAGGCGGGGUAUCUGGCCUAUUAGAGAGAGAUGAUAGGCUGGGUAUCUGGCCUAUUAGAGAGAGAUGAUAGGCUGGGUAUCUGGCCUAUUAGAGAGAGACGAUAGGCUGGGUAUCUGGCCUAUUAGAGAGAGAUGAUAGGCGGGGUAUCUGGCCUAUUAGAGAGAGAUGAUAGGCUGGGUAUCUGGCCUAUUAGAGAGAGAUGAUAGGCUGGGUAUCUGGCCUAUUAGAGAGAGAUGAUAGGCUGGGUAUCUGGCCUAUUAGAGAGAGAUGAUAGGCUGGGUAUCUGGCCUAUUAGAGAGAGACGAUAGGCUGGGUAUCUGGCCUAUUAGAGA